AAUAACCCUGUAGGCGAAAAGGAAAGAAAAGUAGAUCUACUCCAGAGUACCACGAGACACGUGAAACCUUGUGGGAAGCUGGGAGGACCAUCUCCCAAGGCUAAAUACUACCUAGUGACCGAUAGUGAAGCAGUACCGUGAGGGAAAGGUGAAAAGAACCCCGGAAGGGGAGUGAAAUAGAAUCUGAAACCGUGUGCCUACAAUCGGUCGGAGCACAUUAAAGUGUGACGGCGUACUUUUUGUAGAACGGGCCAGCGAGUUACGAUAUAUAGCAAGGUUAAGCACUUAUGGUGUGGAGCCGAAGGGAAACCGAGUCUGAAUAGGGCAACUAGUUGUAUAUUGUAGACCCGAAACCGGGUGACCUAUCCAUGGCCAGGAUGAAGCGGAAGUAAAAUUCCGUGGAGGUCCGAACCACGUUGGUGUUGAAAAACCAUGGGAUGAGCUGUGGAUAGCGGAGAAAUUCCAAUCGAACUCGGAGAUAGCUGGUUCUCCUCGAAAUAGCUUUAGGGCUAGCGUCGGG
This 520-nucleotide ribosomal RNA is filed under the name Clostridium sp. K25. RNAcentral describes it as "bacterial LSU rRNA". It matches the Rfam family "Bacterial large subunit ribosomal RNA", at positions 366 to 886 of the family's 2925-position model. The record is from RNAcentral. Lineage: Bacteria; Bacillati; Bacillota; Clostridia; Eubacteriales; Clostridiaceae.